Long non-coding RNA from Ornithorhynchus anatinus (platypus), 380 nucleotides. RefSeq lists it as uncharacterized. The transcript is spliced from 2 exons. NCBI's taxonomy places the organism in Eukaryota, Metazoa, Chordata, Mammalia, Monotremata, Ornithorhynchidae. The record is from RefSeq and is a predicted model, not a curated record.
CGGCAGAGACCUGCGAGCGCCGAGGGGGGCGGGGCCCUGGUCUCGUGGGAGUGAGGGGAAACUCCACCCCCGCCCCUCAGAGAGGCCUGCCCCAUUACCCGCCUUUGGCCCCAGGAACAGACCCCACAUGCGGUUAGGCAAGAGGAGCCCUCCCACGUGCUAAGCUUACCUGUUUCACAGCAAUGCUGACUCUAACAGAAUUGAUGGAGCCCUCGAUCAGAACCUUUUCCUUCUCAUUCCUGCUGAUGAUCACAGGCUGUAACAGGAGUUCUUUGCUACUCCUACAAAUGGCAAACACACCUUUAUGACUACAGAAAGAGAGCUGAGGAUACUGCGGCUCUCCCAAGACACAGUAACAUGGAGCUUAAGCCCAAACCUCA